This 253-nucleotide ribosomal RNA is filed under the name uncultured bacterium. RNAcentral's name for it is "partial 16S ribosomal RNA". It matches the Rfam family "Bacterial small subunit ribosomal RNA", at positions 524 to 776 of the family's 1533-position model. The record is from RNAcentral.
UACGUAGGGCGCAAGCGUUGUCCGGAAUUAUUGGGCGUAAAGAGCUCGUAGGCGGCCUGUUGCGUCCGCUGUGAAAGCCCGGGGCUUAACCCCGGGUCGGCAGUGGAUACGGGCAGGCUAGAGGUAGGUAGGGGAGAAUGGAAUUCCUGGUGUAGCGGUGAAAUGCGCAGAUAUCAGGAGGAACACCGAUGGCGAAGGCAGGUCUCUGGGCAUUAACUGACGCUGAGGAGCGAAAGCAUGGGGAGCGAACAGG